Long non-coding RNA from Myotis myotis, 2241 nucleotides. RefSeq lists it as uncharacterized. The record is from RefSeq and is a predicted model, not a curated record. Lineage: Eukaryota; Metazoa; Chordata; Mammalia; Chiroptera; Vespertilionidae. The transcript is spliced from 3 exons.
GUCUGUCUCCUGCACACGCCCCACUGGGGAUCAAGCCCGCAACCCGUGCAUGUGCUCUAACAGGGAAUCAAACCGUCACCUCCUGUUUCAUAGGCCGAUGCUCAACCACUGGGCCACUGAGAAGUUCUCUACAUUUGUUCUAAGCCUCCUAUUUCCUGUGGGUCCGUAGUUAGAUCUAGAGCAAGCAUUGCAAACUCGUGGCCGGUGGGCCGCAUGCCUCGUUUAUUUAAACUUGCGGCAUGCCGGCUGCGAGUUUGGCAUGCUUGAUAGAGGCUCAAUUAGGUUCAGGGUGGAGGUACAGUAAUACUGCACAGGCAGUGCUGCGGCUUCCUGUUGUGGAGCUUCGACAGGCCCAUGUCUGGGUGCCCCAUCUUCGGUGACAUUAAGAUGAUAGGGAUCAGCUGUUGCCAGCCUGAUCCACUCAUUGUAAUGUUCCCCACCAACAACCACCUAAUGGCGUUAGCUCUCCCUUGGAGUUGUAAUUUUAAAAUGUCUUUGCCAACUCCAUAGCUGAUAAAUUGGACCUAUCUAUUCUAGUUGGUCAGUGUUAACUUGUUACUUAUUUCUCAAGUCACAGGAUUCCUCUCCGAUUCAUCUGCCCACCUCCUUCCUUUCCAGGCCUCCUCACAGGGUCUCAGUCAUCUCUGGUGCACUCCUAGUCGUGCCGGUCUCAUCCAGCUCUGUGGAUGGCUUGAUGCAGAAACUACUGCAUGCACAGCCCAGGAAUUGUCUCCGCAUUCCAGGCCACAGUCGGUACCAGGCCCGGGCCCUGACUCCAGCUCCCCACUGGAAUGACUGCUUUGCAUGGCAAGGUCAGCGAUGUUUCUGAAGCCGCCGGCCCUACAAGAAAGUGGCCAGGGUCACCGUGAAAACUCCAUGGACAGGCUGCACAGCCCCCAAUGGCACACCCUUUCUCUACCGUGGCCGGGGCUGCAGAAUGGGAGAAGGUUAGGGCAGCAGUAAGUCCGCUCAAUCCUAGUCACUUUUCAAUGUCCGGGUCCUCUUCCUAAGACACCCGAGUCCGUGUGGGCUAAGCCACGCGCAGUUUGUGGCACAGACACUGCUCUCCCUGCCACGUGGGGUCAUUGGCUUUGGGCCACUCUGUGCUUGUCCACUCUCCCUCCCCUCAGACUGAGUUAUUUCCCAGGAAGAGCCAAAGGCUGGAAACAAAUCCUCCUCAGUGGGGUCAGCCCAGAGGCCACAGAGACACGCCCAGGUCUGCCUGAAUCUCAGGAUGAGCACAGGUCAGCCUGGCCCGCGGGAACCUGCCCCGCCUGCCCAGUAACAGAAAGCAAUGAGUCGUACCCUCGGAGAGGGGCAGGGUGCCCCCAAAGAAUGUUUUUCCAAAAGAUGCUUUUUUGAAGGCAAACAAUGUAAGGACUGUUUUCAUAAUCCAGGUAUCUCUGUGAAAAUGUUGAAAAUCUCCCUAGGAAUUCCUCAGGCAAGGCCGACCUGAGAAACGCCGUGGACAGCUGCCCAGCCAGCCCUCCGGGACCACGCAGGACACCCACAGGCACACCUUUCCGUCCCCGCCCCCCAUGAGAGACUCCCUGGAGCCACAGGCACUGAUCAAGGACAUGCUUUGGAGGCCCCUGCCCAGGAGCUGAGCCGCCUGACCAGCAUUGUCUUCAGCAAGAGGCACGCCGGUGCCAGGAGUUACCACGUCAGCACUGCACACACGCAGCCCAGCUUACCAGCCACCCACUCCACCCAGGAGGCAGCUUCCCACCCGGAGGGGUUUGAAAAGCCACAGACCCACCUGUCCCCUCCACCUGCCCCAGACUCCCCAGCAUCCUGCCUGUGUCCCAUUCUCCUGGGAGAGGAAGGCGCCCUCUUUUCCAAACGGGCUCAGGUGGCAUGAGUUAAGCCACUGCCCGUUUGAGGGCGGUGCCCCCUGUCUGCCAAGGGCCCCGAGGCUCCCUGGGCCUGCUCAGAUGCACCUGCCUCUUCCCCUUCACGGACCGAGCUCAGACAGCUGGGCACACAUGCUGCACCGGGAGCUUCCUUCCUGGCCAACUGUGGAAACCACAGCUGGUUCGUGAUCGCCUCUCAGGACCCGCUUCCGCCUCUGAAAGUCACCUUCGCCCUUGCCUGCUGUGGCUGCACAGGAAGUCCUGGCUCUGAAUACUGCUCCAAAGAGCAGCAAGGGAACAGCCGACGGCCACCAUCCUCUACGUCCAGUCAGCCCUACAUCACCACAUCGCUUAGGAACAUCUUGUUUAAUUAAAACGUGCAUUUUAA